CAAUAGCGUAUAUUAAAGUUGUUGCGGUUAAAAGCUCGUAGUUGGAUUUCUGCCGAGGACGACCGGUCCGCCCUCUGGGUGUGUAUCUGGCUCGACCUGGGCAUCUUCUUGGAGAACGUGGCUGCACUUGAUUGUGUGGUGCGGUAUCCAGGACUUUUACUUUGAGGAAAUUUGAGUGUUUCAAGCAGGCAUACGCCUUGAAAACGUUAGCAUGGAAUAAUAAGAUAGGGUCACUUCUCUAUUUUGUUGGUUUCUAGAAUCGUGACAAUAGAUUAAUUAAGGGAGUAGUCGGGGGUAGGUUUGUUAUUCUAACUAGUCAGAGGUGGAAAUUACUUGGAUUUGUUUGUAAGACAGACUACUGCGAAAGACAUUUACCUAAGGAUGUUUUCUAUUGAUCAAGAACGAAAGUUAAGGGGAGUCGAAGACGAUCAGAUACCAU
Molecule: ribosomal RNA, 439 nt
Filed under: uncultured eukaryote
Lineage: Eukaryota
Description: bacterial SSU rRNA
Rfam family: Eukaryotic small subunit ribosomal RNA
Source: RNAcentral